This 167-nucleotide ribosomal RNA is filed under the name uncultured bacterium. Its description in RNAcentral is "partial 16S ribosomal RNA". It matches the Rfam family "Bacterial small subunit ribosomal RNA", at positions 355 to 519 of the family's 1533-position model. The record is from RNAcentral.
UGAGGAAUAUUGGUCAAUGGGCGGGAGCCUGAACCAGCCAAGCCGCGUGAGGGAAGAAGGUACAGCGUAUCGUAAACCUCUUUUGUCAGGGAACAAAGGCGGGGACUAGUCCCCGGAUGAGGGUACCUGAAGAAAAAGCAUCGGCUAACUCCGUGCCAGCAGCCGCG